Molecule: ribosomal RNA, 145 nt
Filed under: Cronobacter sakazakii
Lineage: Bacteria; Pseudomonadati; Pseudomonadota; Gammaproteobacteria; Enterobacterales; Enterobacteriaceae
Description: partial 16S ribosomal RNA
Rfam family: Bacterial small subunit ribosomal RNA
Source: RNAcentral
UUUAAUUGAAGAGUUUGAUCAUGGCUCAGAUUGAACGCUGGCGGCAGGCCUAACACAUGCAAGUCGAACGGUAACAGGGAGCAGCUUGCUGCUCUGCUGACGAGUGGCGGACGGGGUGAGUAAUGUCUGGGAAACUGCCCUAUGG